CCUACGGGAGGCAGCAGUGGGGAAUCUUGCGCAAUGGGCGAAAGCCUGACGCAGCCAUGCCGCGUGAAUGAUGAAGGUCUUAGGAUUGUAAAGUUCUUUCGCCCGUGACGAUGAUGACGGUAACGGGAGAAGAAGCCCCGGCUAACUUCGUGCCAGCAGCCGCGGUAAUACGAAGGGGGCUAGCGUUGUUCGGAAUUACUGGGCGUAAAGCGCGCGUAGGCGGCUUUGCAAGCCAGGGGUGAAAUGCCUGAGCUCAACUUGGGAAUUGCCUUUGGGACUGUGAGGCUUCGAGGACUGGAGAGGUGAGUGGAAUUCCCAGUGUAGAGGUGAAAUUCGUAGAUAUUGGGAAGAACACCGGUGGCGAAGGCGGCUCACUGGCCAGUUUCUGACGCUAAAGCGCGAAAGCGUGGGGAUCAAACAGGAUUAGAUACCCUAGUAGU
This 440-nucleotide ribosomal RNA is filed under the name uncultured bacterium. Its description in RNAcentral is "bacterial SSU rRNA". It matches the Rfam family "Bacterial small subunit ribosomal RNA", at positions 338 to 794 of the family's 1533-position model. The record is from RNAcentral.